CACAGUUCUGUAUCUGGUGUGUGCUGCUUUGGCUUUAAGUCUGGUUCUUGUAGCCUUCCUUCUUUAUGCCAUCAGGAAAAAAUCCUGUGAUUGUUGUAACGCUGCUGUGACUCUGCAAACAAAUGCUGCAGCAGCCAGUGGUGAUCAGCAAAGUCAGCAGAGAAAUGAGGAUUCUUUGGUUUAUUCUGCACCAGACUUUACCAGGAGGAAAGCCGGCAAAUCAGGGAGAAGAAGUGCAAGAAAGGAGGAGACGAUCUACGCUGAAGUCAGGGCUUUUGUGAUGGAUCCAUAAUCU
This is a long non-coding RNA of Chelmon rostratus (copperband butterflyfish), 295 nucleotides long. RefSeq lists it as uncharacterized. The transcript is spliced from 3 exons. Lineage: Eukaryota; Metazoa; Chordata; Actinopteri; Chaetodontiformes; Chaetodontidae. The record is from RefSeq and is a predicted model, not a curated record.